Molecule: ribosomal RNA, 2245 nt
Filed under: Sphaeroma serratum
Lineage: Eukaryota; Metazoa; Arthropoda; Malacostraca; Isopoda; Sphaeromatidae
Description: partial 18S ribosomal RNA
Rfam family: Eukaryotic small subunit ribosomal RNA
Source: RNAcentral
UAAGCCAUGCAUGUCUAAGUCCAAGCUGUGUGUACGCAAGUACACGCGGCGAAACCGCGGACGGCUCAUUAAAUCAGUCGUGGUCCAAAUGGGCUAGAGUUAUCUUACUUGGAUAACUGUGGUAAUUCCAGAGCUAAUACAUGCAACUGAAAUCCUUUGCGAAAAGUACACUCGUGUGCUUGAGUAUCGGAUGCUUUUAUUAGACCAAACCGCUAUCAUGUGCUACAUUUGGGUAGAUACGUCGUUCAUUCGUACUUCGGUGCGUUUCGUCUUCUGUCUGCACUGUGUAUGCACUAGGCUCGUGUUAUGGUGACUCUGGAUAACACCUCAUGACAAGCGCACGUAUCCAUUUUAAUGGGACGGCGCUGCCACUUUCGAGUGUCUGCCUUAUCAGCUAUGAAUCGUUCGUUAUGUGCGACCGAUGGCUUUGACGGGUAACGGGGAAUCAGGGUUCGAUUCCGGAGAGGCAGCCUGAGAAACGGCUACCACGUCCAAGGACGGCAGCAGGCACGCAAAUUACCCAAUCCCAGCACAUGGGGGAGGUAGUGACGAAAUCUAACGAUGCGGGCGCCCCUUCUGGGGCCCCGCAAUUGGAAUGGGCACUUUCUUUCUAAACACCCUGUUGAGAACCUACUGAAGGGCAAGUCUGGUGCCAGCAGCCGCGGUAAUUCCAGCUUCAGUAGCAUCUACUAAAGUUGCUGCGGUUAAAAGGCUCGCAGUUGAAUGUCAGUAACAAGUGCAGCGAUGGUGGACGUUGGAGUGUGUUGUUCAUUGCAUGCGCUAGUGGCUGGGUUUUUAACACGGUCAUUUGUGUGUGUGUGUGGCUUCACGUCUUACUCCCGUCCGUAACAAGCCUCCUCACUUGCUUACAAAAACGGAUUUGUGGUGUGUUUACCGAGUCUCUGUAGCGCUUCGCGGCGUUAUAUAUUCGGUUUACACUUUGGAUUCAAGGUCACCUUGAGUAAAUCAGAGUGCUCAAAGCAGUCGUAAGGAACGUGUGGGUGGUAACAUUCGCAUGUUCUGUGAUAUGGAUGUCUUCAUUGACAGACAGUCUUGGUUUUGCAUGGUAUGUCGAAAGACGCCGUAUCUUGUUGGUUACGAGUCUUGUGCGGUGGUGUGUAAAUCGAACGUAUUUCCCUCUGCUCUUUUCAUUCUCUCCGAGAGUGUUAGAGUACGGAUACGUAAGAGAGCCCACUCAAGACCAACAAGUGCGGAAUGAUUAAGAGACCCGGUCGAAGGCAUUGGUAUUGCGAGGCGAGAGGUGAAAUUCUAUGACCCCCGCAAGACCUCCUGAAGCGAAAGCGUCUGCCAAGGACGUUUCAUAAUCAUGAACGAAUGGAGCCUGCGGCUUAAUUUGACUCAACACGGGCAAUCUCACCAGGCCAGCACUCUUGUACGAUUGACAGAUUGAGAGUUCUUUCUCGAUUAAGUGGAUGGUGGUGCAUGGCCGUUCUUAGUUGGUGGAGUGAUCUGUCUGGUUAAUUCCGAUAACGAACGAGACUCUUCCCUGUUAAAUAGUCGGUUGGAUCUUGCGUCCUUAAAGAGUCGGUUGCUUUCUUUUCGCGCUCCUCGUGUAUGUUGCCUUAACGGGUGUGUGUACUUGGGUGUGUGGGGAAGUCGUCGCUCCAAGUCCACCGCUUACUGGUUAUUUUGCGUAUGGGUGCUUUGUCGUUUGUGCGUGAGCUCGCUCUGUCUCUCGUGGGCUCUAUGUCUUCCCUCGGGGAGGUAUGGUGGUUYGYYYGAGUAYUGCGCGUUUGCGUAUACGUGGCGUNGUAWUUGUGCGUGAAGGUCAGUAAAACUSUUCUUAGAGGGAUUCACGGUUMUGAAGCCGUAAGAAACUGAGAGCAAUAACAGGUCUGUGAUGCCCUMAGAUGUUCUGGGCCGCACGCGCGCUACAAUGCCGUGCACAGCAUGUGUUUUUCCUUCUCCGAGAGGAGUGGGUAACCAUCUGAAAGCACUGACAAUUAAUGAUAAUAGCGUACUCACGUACGUCUUCCAUCGCCGGCUUGCUUGGGCCUGGGGCUUGCAAUUCUUUCCCACAAACGAGGAAUGCCUAGUAGCGGCGGGUCACUGAGCCCGCCUUGACUCUGUCCCUGCCCUUUGUACACACCGCCCGUCGCUACUACCGAUUGGGUGUACCAGUGAGAUCCUUGGACUGGCGAACCUUGUAAAGCGUGCAUUCAUGUACGAAUGAGCAAGCGUGACCGACGGAAAGAGGCUCGAACUGGUGCACUUAGAGGAAGUA